Molecule: small RNA, 81 nt
Organism: Mycobacterium sp. 1274761.0
Lineage: Bacteria; Bacillati; Actinomycetota; Actinomycetes; Mycobacteriales; Mycobacteriaceae
Rfam family: Mycobacterium sRNA Ms_IGR-2
Source: Rfam
GUGAGAGUCGUCACAGGCGUACAGUCGAUCGCACGACGGGUUCGGGAGUGACCUAUCCGAAGAGUCGGCAAGAGGUGAAAG